This is a non-coding RNA of Peromyscus maniculatus bairdii (prairie deer mouse), 564 nucleotides long. The record is from RefSeq and is a predicted model, not a curated record. NCBI's taxonomy places the organism in Eukaryota, Metazoa, Chordata, Mammalia, Rodentia, Cricetidae.
GGCGGGACCCGCGGGGACGGGCGUUCCAAGCCUCUGUGUGCCAGGCGGGUGACGCGCCCGGGCGGACUAGCCAAGACUCGGGCCCCCACGCGGAGAAACCGGCUGGCGGCUGUCUGGAUCCCGGUGCGACCGCAGGCAACAGGCAUGCAGGAGGAACCCGAGUCCGGGAGUUGCGGAGUGUGGAGCUCUGGGGUGGAGACUCGGUCCGCCCGCAGGGCUUCCGAUGGGAAGCAGGGAGUGGGCUUUGUAGUCAGCACCAUCGUGAUUACUGCUAUCAAUAUCCUCUUGCUGUCCUUGACCCAUCGAUUAAUCAUUCUCAAGCUGAGCAGUUAUUGGAAAGUAGGUCCCUCAUCCCACUGGUCAGAUCCCAGCAUGGGUCCACCCUGAAUGAAUGCUUCGUCCUCCAACAGCAGCUGAGCAAGCCAGAGAAAAUGACACCAACCAGCUCUGGGCACUGCUCAUCAGUGUUCAUCAGUGUCUUCUCCCACCUCCCACAUCUACUGGUCCAAGUUUUAACCCAAAUAAAUGGUCCUGCCACUUAGCACAGGACACAUUUACUGAGAA